CCAAUAGCGUAUAUUAAAGUUGUUGCAGUUAAAAAGCUCGUAGUUGAAUUUCGAGACCGGUUUACUGGUCGUGCUUUUGUACGUAAUGGUAUAAUCGGUUUCUUUCUUCUGACUAACUAUAAUUCCAUUAAUUUGGUGUUAUGGGAAAUCAGGACUGUUACUUUGAAAAAAUUAGAGUGUUUAAAGCAGGCUCACGCUUGAAUACAUUAGCAUGGAAUAAAGGAAAAGGACGUUUGAUUCUAUUUUGUUGGUUUCUAGGAUCGACGUAAUGAUUAAUAGGGAUAGUUGGGGGCAUUAGUAUUCAAUUGUCAGAGGUGAAAUUCUUGGAUUUAUUGAAGACUAACUACUGCGAAAGCAUUUGCCAAGGAUGUUUUCAUUAAUCAAGAACGAAAGUUAGGGGAUCGAAGACGAUCAGAUACCGUCGUAGUCUUAACCAUAAACUAUGCCGACUAGGGAUCGGAUGAUGUUAAUUUUUUAAUGACUCAUUCGGCGCCUUAC
This 498-nucleotide ribosomal RNA is filed under the name uncultured Glomeromycotina. RNAcentral's name for it is "partial small subunit ribosomal RNA". It matches the Rfam family "Eukaryotic small subunit ribosomal RNA", at positions 591 to 1091 of the family's 1831-position model. Lineage: Eukaryota; Fungi; Glomeromycota. The record is from RNAcentral.